UCCGCUAGGACGUGCGACGGAGUCCAAGGGUCGGUAAACAAGUACCUCCAUCGCACCGUGAGACUUGAACAACCAGGUCACACGGCCCAAUCACGGGAGAGAACGCUGAGCGUAACAAC
This 119-nucleotide non-coding RNA is filed under the name uncultured Corynebacterium sp. Its description in RNAcentral is "atpB RNA". It matches the Rfam family "atpB RNA". Lineage: Bacteria; Bacillati; Actinomycetota; Actinomycetes; Mycobacteriales; Corynebacteriaceae. The record is from RNAcentral.